UUAAACCACGCCUCUAUGUUUACGUUCGAUACCUUCAGCACCCCCGCAGAGUUCACAUCUCGCGGAAGAACUCUCGAAACAGGUCUCGAAUAAAACAUUUCACAAUCGAAGAAGGAUAUGAGACGACAACUCAUCACCUUCCUCCCCACUAUUCACAAAUUCAUAAAAAGCGUUAUCCGAUUAUCAUACCAUAAAAAGAAAGCCGCGGAGCGGCAGGGAUUCAAAGCCACACACGGCCAGUCCCGAAAUACAAACAAGGCCAUUCAAGGCCGAAACAUAAAAACAUAAAAAAAAUUUCUCGCAAGAGAUCUAACCAAAGUCACCCUCAGAACUUACGCCCCCUCUUCACCCGCUGCCUCAUCCGAGCCUGGAGCCGCGUCACUUCCGUUCUCUCCGACC
Molecule: long non-coding RNA, 399 nt
Filed under: Brassica rapa (field mustard)
Lineage: Eukaryota; Viridiplantae; Streptophyta; Magnoliopsida; Brassicales; Brassicaceae
Description: long non-coding RNA (BRAP_LNC008916)
Source: RNAcentral